GAUGAACGCUGGCGGCGUGCCUAAUACAUGCAAGUCGAGCGAACAGACGAGGAGCUUGCUCCUCUGACGUUAGCGGCGGACGGGUGAGUAACACGUGGAUAACCUACCUAUAAGACUGGGAUAACUUCGGGAAACCGGAGCUAAUACCGGAUAAUAUAUUGAACCGCAUGGUUCAAUAGUGAAAGACGGUUUUGCUGUCACUUAUAGAUUGAUCCGCGCCGCAUUAGCUAGUUGGUAAGGUAACGGCUUACCAAGGCAACGAUGCGUAGCCGACCUGAGAGGGUGAUCGGCCACACUGGAACGGAGACACGGUCCAGACUCCUACGGGAGGCAGCAGUAGGGAAUCUUCCGCAAUGGGCGAAAGCCUGACGGAGCAACGCCGCGUGAGUGAUGAAGGUCUUCGGAUCGUAAAACUCUGUUAUUAGGGAAGAACAAAUGUGUAAGUAACUAUGCACGUCUUGACGGUACCUAAUCAGAAAGCCACGGCUAACUACGUG
Molecule: ribosomal RNA, 497 nt
Filed under: uncultured bacterium
Lineage: Bacteria
Description: partial 16S ribosomal RNA
Rfam family: Bacterial small subunit ribosomal RNA
Source: RNAcentral